RNAcentral lists this ribosomal RNA (497 nucleotides) under uncultured bacterium. RNAcentral describes it as "partial 16S ribosomal RNA". It matches the Rfam family "Bacterial small subunit ribosomal RNA", at positions 28 to 507 of the family's 1533-position model. The record is from RNAcentral.
GAUGAACGCUGGCGGCGUGCCUAAUACAUGCAAGUCGAGCGAACGGACGAGAAGCUUGCUUCUCUGACGUUAGCGGCGGACGGGUGAGUAACACGUGGAUAACCUACCUAUAAGACUGGGAUAACUUCGGGAAACCGGAGCUAAUACCGGAUGAUAUAUUGAACCGCAUGGUUCAAAAGUGAAAGACGGUUUUGCUGUCACUUAUAGAUGGAUCCGCGCUGCAUUAGCUAGUUGGUAAGGUAACGGCUUACCAAGGCAACGAUGCAUAGCCGACCUGAGAGGGUGAUCGGCCACACUGGAACUGAGACACGGUCCAGACUCCUACGGGAGGCAGCAGUAGGGAAUCUUCCGCAAUGGGCGAAAGCCUGACGGAGCAACGCCGCGUGAGUGAUGAAGGUCUUCGGAUCGUAAAACUCUGUUAUUAGGGAAGAACAUAUGUGUAAGUAACUAUGCACAUCUUGACGGUACCUAAUCAGAAAGCCACGGCUAACUACGUG